Molecule: ribosomal RNA, 701 nt
Filed under: Minervarya pierrei (Pierre's cricket frog)
Lineage: Eukaryota; Metazoa; Chordata; Amphibia; Anura; Dicroglossidae
Description: partial large subunit ribosomal RNA
Rfam family: Bacterial large subunit ribosomal RNA
Source: RNAcentral
CAAUGUUAAAACUAGUAACAUGAAGCAGCCCUUCUCCCUAAUGCAAGCAAAUACCAAAAUGGACUAACCAUUGGUUCUUAACGUCCAUGAGCUCAACCUAGCAACACUCCCUUCGAAAACCCUAUGCCCAAAUUACGUUAACCUUACACUAGAGCAUUCCUGGAAAGAUAAAAAGAAAAAGAAGGAACUCGGCAAACUAAAAUCCCGCCUGUUUACCAAAAACAUCGCCUCUUGACACAUACUCCCUCCUAUAAGAGGUCCAGCCUGCCCAGUGAAAUUUUAACGGCCGCGGUACUCUGACCGUGCGAAGGUAGCAUAAUCACUUGUUCUUUAAAUGAGGACUAGUAUCAACGGCAUCACGAGGAUUUUACUGUCUCCUUUUUCCUAUCGGUGAAACUGAUCUCCCCGUGAAGAAGCGGGGAUAAUAUUAUAAGACGAGAAGACCCCAUGGAGCUUUAAACCCAGUAACACCUCAAACACACCCCCUCCCAAAAAGUUUUAAUGUUCUGUUCACUGGUUUUAGGUUGGGGCGACCGCGGAGUACAACUUAACCUCCACAGCGCACGGAACUUAUUCCUUACCUGAGAGCUACACCUCAAAGAAUUAUCACAUUAACGUAAAAUGAUCCAAUAUUUUCCUUAUUGAUUAAUGAACCAAGUUACCCUGGGGAUAACAGCGCAAUCCAUUUCUAGAGCCCCUAU